Molecule: long non-coding RNA, 264 nt
Filed under: Elaeis guineensis (African oil palm)
Lineage: Eukaryota; Viridiplantae; Streptophyta; Magnoliopsida; Arecales; Arecaceae
Description: long non-coding RNA (EGUI_LNC078370)
Source: RNAcentral
CUUCCUUUAUUGCCAUUUUUCUUCUUUCUUUUGUCUUCAAGAAACGUUCAGUCAAUAAAAUUGGUCUCCUCCUUGCGGGGGACUUUUCUUCUCUUCUUUUUCUUUCUUUCUUUCUUCUUCUUUGUAAUGAGCUGCAUUUUAACGCGUUGACCUCCCGAUGGCAGUGCCCCACCGAAGCGCUUCCCUUGCCUUAGAGGAUUCCGCUGAAGUCUACAAUCCAGUGGCUGAAGAAGGAAGUCCUCCAUUUAACAAAAAGGUCGAAGA